CCCGCGCAUGCACCGGCUGAGGUGAUGGCAGCUGUGGCCGUGGGGACGCGGGCGCUGGCGGGGUCCGGACGCCCGCUCCUGUGGGGUGGCGGCUGCCGGCGGCUCUGGGCGCUGCCAGCGGGACUCGCCGCCGCCGCCGCUGCUGCUUCUCCUCCCGCCGGCGCUUCGUCGCGCUCGGGCGCGCUGAGCCCCUUCGACCGGCGGCUGAAGCGGAAGCAGAAGAACUGGGCGGCGCUACAAGCCGAGCCCGGCAAGUGCGACUACCUGCGGGAGGAGGUCGGCGGGAGGAUAGCGGACAGGGUGUUUGACAUCCCCAGAACGUUUCCACUUGCUUUGGAUGUUGGCUCUGGAAGAGGUUACAUAGCUCAACAUUUAACCAAGGACACUGUUGAAAAACUUAUUCAAGUUGAUAUUGCAGAGAAUGCUUUAAAGAAUGCUGUGGAAUCUGAAAUCCCUACAGUCAGCGUUGUAGCUGAUGAGGAAUCCCUUCCUUUCAAAGAAGAUACCUUUGAUCUUGUCGUUAGUAGCUUAAGUUUACAUUGGGUGAAUGACCUUCCCAGAGCUUUUAGAGAGAUUCACCAAGUUCUUAAGCCAGAUGGAGUAUUCAUUGGUGCAAUGUUUGGGGGAGACACUCUAUACGAGCUUCGCUGCUCUUUGCAGCUAGCAGAAUUGGAGAGAGAAGGAGGAUUUUCUCCUCAUGUAUCGCCAUUCACUGCUGUCUCUGAUUUGGGACAUCUGCUGUCGAGAGCGGGCUUUAACACACUGACUGUGGAUACCGAUGAAAUUCAAGUCAACUACCCAGGGUUGUUUGAGGUUAUGGAAGACUUGCAAGGUAUGGGGGAGAGUAACUGCUCUUGGAAUAGAAAACCUCUGCUACACAGGGAGACAAUGUUGGCAGCUGCUGCAAUAUACCGAGAAAUGUAUGGAAAUAGCGAUGGUUCAGUACCUGCCACGUUUCAGAUCUUCUACAUGAUUGGCUGGAAAUUCCAUGAAUCACAGGCAAAACCAGCCCAGAGAGGUUCUGCAACAGUUUCAUUUGGAGAUCUGUCAAAAUUAGGUGGAUUUGUUUCAAAAGAAAAAAAAUAGUUUUCAUCAGAAAUAAUAGUUGUCUUGAAGCUGCUAUAAAACUUCUCAUUGCAGAUAGUCUUCACUUGAGCUUAUUUUGUGACAACAUUCUGAACUGAUGAUUAUCUGCACACAGCAGGACUUUUUGGUUUUGUACUGCCUAUGCUACAACAUCAGCUGUGUAAAAUUAUGUCAAUUUCUUGUUUCUAGAGAAAUAUUUGAGCAGUAUUCAAAGAAUAAAUGCUCUCCUGACUUUUGAUUAAAAUACUAUUCUCAAAUGUAAUGCCUCUUUCAGCGUUUCAGAAUCCCAGACUGCUCCAGGUAUGAUUUGCAAGUCUUGAGUGUAUUUCACCCUGCAUGGUUUUUUAAUUAUUCUUAAAGGUUGGUAGAUCAUAAUAAAGAGUUAUACUUGGUGGCAAGUGUAUUUAUAAGACUUCCUGUUAGAGAAAACACCUGCAAAUACACAAAUCUAAUUUAUGGUUUUUAUGUGUUGGAAAUUAUGGGUAAGAAGUUACUAUCAGUUAUUGUUUGAAAUGCAAAUGUUUGAGUCGUGUAUAAGGAAGUGAUUGAGUAAGCUCUGUAUGAUAAAAAUACUUUGGGUUGCUACCCGUCACCUACAGCCCUCAAAUCCAGGACCUUUUCACCCCCAAAGCUAGAAAAGUUUCUGCGCAUGAAUAGUAGAGCUCAGCCAUAAAGAGAGUUGGAUGCUCCAUUGUAGCUCUAACAGAAUGUACAUAUCGUGAUUUGACUUAAUUUACUGAAAGGAGUAGUAAGCAGAAGAGUCAUCCAGCACUCAGAUGGAUGGGUACGUAUCACAUGACUUAAUUGGCUUAGAAUUGGCAUUCUCUGGAGUUGGUACACUUUUGGAGUUCCAUGGCUUUUUGGUUUUUAUCUCUUAGCAUUUGAAAAAUUAGAAGUGAUACUUUAAAUGUUAGUUUAAAAUUCCAUUUACACAUUACUUUCUGCUAUGCUACUAUCAGAGGCUGAGAAGCAUUAAGUAUACUUCUUGUUUUCUCCUUAGCUGUGACAUGGAGCUGUGACUUUUCCUGUAUAUAACUGCAUUACCAGAGAUUGAUACUAGUCACAAAUAUGGCCUAUUAACCUGAGGUGUUCAGAAAAAAUACCUACCCAGAGAUUUCACCUGAUUGUAGUCCUGAUAAUGUUAGAAACAAAAAGCAUGAAAAAUAGAUAAUCAGGUAUGGUGUUCAAGCAAUUUUAUCAUUGCAUCUAGGUGUUGCAUCAAUCCUGGUGAAACCAAAACUUCUGUAGGCUUGCUUUAAGAUUAUCCAGCAGGUGGAGUUUGACAGAAUGGUGUGGCACAGAUCGAAUAGACAAGAUUUAAGUCUUUAUGGCUUUCUAAAAUUACAAUGAAGAAUGUGGUUGCUAGUUGCUAGUCUAGAAAUCAUUUUAAACCCUGAAGUGCAUGUUAAAAAUCAGCUUUUGCAGAGUAAGUAACUUCUAAAUAGUAGUUGCUAAGGUGACAUAACGUCUUUUGUAAGCUUCAUUUUAAAAAUCUUUAUGCAAUAUACAGAAUGUUUUUCUCCUGAUUACAGAAGAAUGGAAAAAAGAAUUCUGAGAGAAUUAUUUUGACUAAUCAAAAGUUAGGAGCCCAUAAAUAAAGUUUAAAAGAAAUAUGUUUACACUUACUGAAUGUUAGUAUUUUUGAUCCUUAAAAAAGGUUCUGAGUCUCAGAUUAAUGAGUAUGUUUCUUUAGUGUCUUUGAUUGCAAGAUCUGUCAAUAUAUAUUUUUAUGCACAUCUGCUUAGGAUAUAGGGAUGGUUAAUGAGGCCCUACAUUUUGUAAGCAAAGCAUUAGAUUUUGCAGACCUUAAUGCUUUCAAAAGGCCGAGCAUUUGUGAAGUUAAAAUGAGGGAAAGGCUUUUUGAUUACCUCUAAUUUAUAGAAAUGUCCUCAGCAGAAGUGCAGAAGCGAACCACAUCAAAUUAAAUUAAACUUCUUUUUCCUCUGCCUUUUUCCGUGUUUUCUGGAAAAGUGUCGUAAACCUGACCUUUGUCAGUUGAAGGAGAAACACACCAAUCUUUCAUAUGGUGUUUAAUUGGAAUUUUCUGAUGCAAAGAUCUCAUCUAGUGGAUUAAAUGCAUUAUUGCUCAAGCCACAUGAAGAAAGUUAGCAUGUAUGUUAAACCUGUUAAAUUUUCACUUGUCUAAUUCAAGAACUUAAUAUUCAUUUUGCAAAGACAUGAUCUAUUUUGGUGCACGUUUUGGAGCCGUUCUGGGGGGGAGUACAGUUAUUGUAGUAGUUUAACUGGAAUGAGUCGGGAGUACUGAAGCAAAUGUGUCACGUUUAGCUAGUUGGUUUAUUUCUUGAAUAUCCUGGGUGCCCUCAGGGGAAGGAAAAGGAAAAGGAAAAAGAGAAGAAAAAGAAAAACCUGGAACAGUUAAGUUUUAGUCAGAGGCUGCUUAUCAGUGUGGAGUGGAAAGCACUCAAGAGAGCACAUGUGCCUGUUCAGGAGAAAAUUACUUAUGGCUUUAGUCAAGUUAGAGUGGUUUCUUGAUUUAUUAAUAGUUUGUAAUUAACUGUUAGUCCAUGAACUAUGCAUACACAAUCAGUAGCAGCAAUGUAACAGAUGAAUGACUGGACUAGAGCUUUACAAAACCUUAGUAAACAACUCAAGAUACCUGAACACUUUUCUACAGCAAUCCUCCACAAGUUUGCAGUUACGUGCUCACCUCUAUCCCUUUAACUAAUUUGGUUUAAAGAGCCAAGUUAGCCUAUUUACAUCCAUCUUCUUUGGAGGUGUGGAUGCUAUAAGCUGUUCCCGACAUUCCAGUAAUCCACCCUCUUGCUGGGAUAGCAGCCCACAAGGUGAGGUGCAACCACUUCAGGGGCGGUCAGUGCGGGUUGCACCUUGUACUGUGGGCAGGCAUGCAGGCUACUCCUGGCUGCUGGGUAGGAUCCUUCCUCAGGCCUCCACACAGCUUGUGAUGCCAGGAGGGCAUCUUCUCGGUGGCAGACCAAGUUUUGAUUGCUUCUCUCUCCUUCCUGUUGGAAAUGUCAGUGCCUUUUACACUUGAUUUUAAGCUGACUUCCUGCUCCUCGCAGGUCUCCUGGUAACUGCCUGGUUACUGUUUAAUGUGGCUGAUGGUUGUCUUCAUUUUCAGUCUUACCAGAUUUUGAGCAAACACCCUCUCAGUUUUGGAUAUUCUGUUCACAUACAUACUUCUCUGUCCAGGGACAGAGCAGCUAAUGUCCAGGCUUUUUUCUUUUGCCAAGAGAAGGCCAUGUGGAUUUCCCCCAUGAUUUGAAGCUGUUCCUUCAGGUACAAGGUACAUUCAUAAAAGAAAGAGACAAAGUCCUUCUCAGAAAAAAUGUUUCUGUUUGGAACCUUUUGUUGGCGGAAUGAUGACAAAUACUGGGGAAUCUGAUUUGGCCUCAAAGUGUUCAUUGUAGACCAGAAUGUAUUACAAUAAAGCAGUUUUCUAAUGAUAAUGCCUGAAAUAAAGAGGCUACACUUUUCCAGCGCUAA
This is an RNA transcript of Strigops habroptila (Kakapo), 4551 nucleotides long. It is a transcript of the gene named NADH:ubiquinone oxidoreductase complex assembly factor 5, with no coding region annotated. NCBI's taxonomy places the organism in Eukaryota, Metazoa, Chordata, Aves, Psittaciformes, Psittacidae. The transcript is spliced from 12 exons. The record is from RefSeq and is a predicted model, not a curated record.